Molecule: transfer RNA, 77 nt
Filed under: Flavobacteriaceae bacterium
Lineage: Bacteria; Pseudomonadati; Bacteroidota; Flavobacteriia; Flavobacteriales; Flavobacteriaceae
Also listed under: 3 other names
Description: tRNA-His
Rfam family: tRNA
About the family: Transfer RNA (tRNA) molecules are approximately 80 nucleotides in length. Their secondary structure includes four short double-helical elements and three loops (D, anti-codon, and T loops). Further hydrogen bonds mediate the characteristic L-shaped molecular structure. tRNAs have two regions of fundamental functional importance: the anti-codon, which is responsible for specific mRNA codon recognition, and the 3' end, to which the tRNAs corresponding amino acid is attached (by aminoacyl-tRNA synthetases). tRNAs cope with the degeneracy of the genetic code in two manners: having more than one tRNA (with a specific anti-codon) for a particular amino acid; and 'wobble' base-pairing, i.e. permitting non-standard base-pairing at the 3rd anti-codon position.
Source: RNAcentral
GUGGUUGUAGCUCAGCUGGUUAGAGCGCUGGAUUGUGGUUCCAGAGGUCGCCGGUUCGAAACCGGUCUUCCACCCCA